RNAcentral lists this ribosomal RNA (638 nucleotides) under Flavobacterium johnsoniae. RNAcentral describes it as "bacterial SSU rRNA". It matches the Rfam family "Bacterial small subunit ribosomal RNA", at positions 30 to 671 of the family's 1533-position model. The record is from RNAcentral. Lineage: Bacteria; Pseudomonadati; Bacteroidota; Flavobacteriia; Flavobacteriales; Flavobacteriaceae.
UGAACGCUAGCGGCAGGCUUAACACAUGCAAGUCGAGGGGUAUAGUUCUUCGGAACUAGAGACCGGCGCACGGGUGCGUAACGCGUAUGCAAUCUACCUUUUACAGAGGGAUAGCCCAGAGAAAUUUGGAUUAAUACCUCAUAGUAUAUAGACUCGGCAUCGGGAUUAUAUUAAAGUCACAACGGUAAAAGAUGAGCAUGCGUCCCAUUAGCUAGUUGGUAAGGUAACGGCUUACCAAGGCUACGAUGGGUAGGGGUCCUGAGAGGGAGAUCCCCCACACUGGUACUGAGACACGGACCAGACUCCUACGGGAGGCAGCAGUGAGGAAUAUUGGACAAUGGGCGCAAGCCUGAUCCAGCCAUGCCGCGUGCAGGAUGACGGUCCUAUGGAUUGUAAACUGCUUUUAUACGAGAAGAAACACUCCAACGUGUUGGAGCUUGACGGUAUCGUAAGAAUAAGGAUCGGCUAACUCCGUGCCAGCAGCCGCGGUAAUACGGAGGAUCCAAGCGUUAUCCGGAAUCAUUGGGUUUAAAAGGUCCGUAGGCGGUUUAAUAAGUCAGUGGUGAAGCCCAUCGCUCACGGUGGAACAGCCAUUGAUACUGUUAAACUUGAAUUAUUAGGAAGUAACUAGAAUAUGU